This 497-nucleotide ribosomal RNA is filed under the name uncultured bacterium. RNAcentral describes it as "partial 16S ribosomal RNA". It matches the Rfam family "Bacterial small subunit ribosomal RNA", at positions 28 to 507 of the family's 1533-position model. The record is from RNAcentral.
GAUGAACGCUGGCGGCGUGCCGAAUACAUGCAAGUCGAGCGAACGGACGAGAAGCUUGCUUCUCUGAUGUUAGCGGCGGACGGGUGAGUAACACGUGGAUAACCUACCUAUAAGACUGGGAUAACUUCGGGAAACCGGAGCUAAUACCGGAUAAUAUUUUGAACCGCAUGGUUCAAAAGUGAAAGACGGUCUUGCUGUCACUUAUAGAUGGAUCCGCGCUGCAUUAGCUAGUUGGUAAGGUAACGGCUUACCAAGGCAACGAUGCAUAGCCGACCUGAGAGGGUGAUCGGCCACACUGGAACUGAGACACGGUCCAGACUCCUACGGGAGGCAGCAGUAGGGAAUCUUCCGCAAUGGGCGAAAGCCUGACGGAGCAACGCCGCGUGAGUGAUGAAGGUCUUCGGAUCGUAAAACUCUGUUAUUAGGGAAGAACAUAUGUGUAAGUAACUGUGCACAUCUUGACGGUACCUAAUCAGAAAGCCACGGCUAACUACGUG